Molecule: ribosomal RNA, 428 nt
Filed under: uncultured archaeon
Lineage: Archaea
Description: bacterial SSU rRNA
Rfam family: Archaeal small subunit ribosomal RNA
Source: RNAcentral
UACCAGCUCUCCGAGUGGUAGGGAUGAUUAUUGGGCUUAAAGCGUCCGUAGCCGGCUUAGCAAGUCUCCUGUUAAAUUCAGCGACCUAAUCGUUGAGCCGCGGGAGAUACUACUAGGCUAGGAGGCGGGAGAGGUCGACGGUACUUUCGGGGUAGGGGUGAAAUCCUAUAAUCCCGGGAGGACCACCAGUGGCGAAGGCUGUCGACUAGAACGCGCUCGACGGUGAGGGACGAAAGCUGGGGGAACGAACCGGAUUAGAUACCCGGGUAGUCCCAGCUGUAAACGAUGCGGGCUAGGGUGUUGGGGUGGCUACGGGCCACUUCAGUGCCGCAGGAAAGCCAUUAAGCCCGCCGCCUGGGGAUACGGCCGCAAGGCUGAAACUUAAAGGAAUUGGCGGGGAGCACCACAAGGCGUGAAGCUUGCGGUUC